GGAGAGCACUAGCGGGAAUGGAAUCCCGCGGCAAGCGAGGUAGGAGUCGCGCUGGCAAAUCCGCGUGACAAUCCGAAGACGUGAUGCAUACCGAACUGAAGUAGGGAAAUGUGUGAGCCAGCUGCCAAGAAAAGCCGCUAUUGUUUGUACUGUACCCGUACCGUAAACCGACACAGGUAGGUGAGGAGAGAAUCCUAAGGCCGACGGGAGAAGCAUUGUUAAGGAACUCGGCAAAGUGACUCCGUAACUUCGGGAGAAGGAGUGCCAGUGAAAGCUGGCCGCAGAGAAUUGGCCCAAGCAACUGUUUAGCAAAAACACAGGUCUAUGCAAAACCGUAAGGUGAAGUAUAUGGGCUGACGCCUGCCCGGUGCUGGAAGGUUAAGGGGAGAGGUUAGCGCAAGCGAAGCUUUGAACUUAAGCCCCAGUAAACGGCGGCCGUAACAAUAACGGUCCUAAGGUAGCGAAAUUCCUUGUCGGGUAAGUUCCGACCCGCACGAAAGGCGUAAUGAUUUGGGCACUGUCUCAACAAUGCACCCGGUGAAAUUGAAAUACCAGUGAAGAUGCUGGUUACCUGCGCCAGGACGGAAAGACCCCAUGGAGCUUUACUCCAGCUUGAUACUGGGAUUCGAUAUUGUAUGUACAGGAUAGGUGGGAGGCGAAGAAGCAUUGACGCCAGUUGAUGCGGAGCCGCUGUUGGGAUACCACCCUUGCAGUAUUGGAUUUCUAACCAGCAGCCGUGACCCGGCUGGGGGACAAUGUCAGGCGGGGAGUUUGACUGGGGCGGUCGCCUCCGAAAGGGUAUCGGAGGCGCUCAAAGGUUCCCUCAGAAUGGUUGGAAACCAUUCGAAGAGUGCAAAGGCAGAAGGGAGCUUGACUGCGACACCGACGGGUGGAGCAGGUACGAAAGUAGGACUUAGUGAUCCGGUGGUAUAAAGUGGGAUUGCCAUCGCUCAACGGAUAAAAGCUACCCUGGGAUAACAGGCUUAUCACUCCCAAGAGUUCACAUCGACGGAGUGGUUUGGCACCUCGAUGUCGGCUCAUCGCAUCCUGGGGCUGAAGUAGGUCCCAAGGGUUGGGCUGUUCGCCCAUUAAAGCGGUACGCGAGCUGGGUUCAGAACGUCGUGAGACAGUUCGGUCCCUAUCCGGCGUGGGCGUAGGAUAUUUGAGAGGAGCUGGCCUUAGUACGAGAGGACCGGGCUGGACUGACCGCUGGUGUAUCUGUUGUUCCGCCAGGAGCAUGGCAGAGUAGCCAAGUCAGGAAGGGAUAAACGCUGAAGGCAUCUAAGCGUGAAGCCCCCCUCAAGAUGAGAUAUCCCAACGCAAGUUGUAAGACCCCUUGAAGACGACAAGGUAGAUAGGGCAGAGGUGGAAGUGCAGUAAUGCAUGGAGCUGACUGUUACUAAUCGGUCGAGGGCAUAACC
RNAcentral lists this ribosomal RNA (1421 nucleotides) under metagenome. RNAcentral's name for it is "bacterial LSU rRNA". It matches the Rfam family "Bacterial large subunit ribosomal RNA", at positions 1480 to 2925 of the family's 2925-position model. The record is from RNAcentral.